This 1329-nucleotide ribosomal RNA is filed under the name Pseudarthrobacter sulfonivorans. RNAcentral's name for it is "bacterial SSU rRNA". It matches the Rfam family "Bacterial small subunit ribosomal RNA", at positions 87 to 1428 of the family's 1533-position model. The record is from RNAcentral. Lineage: Bacteria; Bacillati; Actinomycetota; Actinomycetes; Micrococcales; Micrococcaceae.
GGGGAUUAGUGGCGAACGGGUGAGUAACACGUGAGUAACCUGCCCUUGACUCUGGGAUAAGCCUGGGAAACUGGGUCUAAUACCGGAUAUGACUCCUCAUCGCAUGGUGGGGGGUGGAAAGCUUUUUGUGGUUUUGGAUGGACUCGCGGCCUAUCAGCUUGUUGGUGAGGUAAUGGCUUACCAAGGCGACGACGGGUAGCCGGCCUGAGAGGGUGACCGGCCACACUGGGACUGAGACACGGCCCAGACUCCUACGGGAGGCAGCAGUGGGGAAUAUUGCACAAUGGGCGAAAGCCUGAUGCAGCGACGCCGCGUGAGGGAUGACGGCCUUCGGGUUGUAAACCUCUUUCAGUAGGGAAGAAGCGAAAGUGACGGUACCUGCAGAAGAAGCGCCGGCUAACUACGUGCCAGCAGCCGCGGUAAUACGUAGGGCGCAAGCGUUAUCCGGAAUUAUUGGGCGUAAAGAGCUCGUAGGCGGUUUGUCGCGUCUGCCGUGAAAGUCCGGGGCUCAACUCCGGAUCUGCGGUGGGUACGGGCAGACUAGAGUGAUGUAGGGGAGACUGGAAUUCCUGGUGUAGCGGUGAAAUGCGCAGAUAUCAGGAGGAACACCGAUGGCGAAGGCAGGUCUCUGGGCAUUAACUGACGCUGAGGAGCGAAAGCAUGGGGAGCGAACAGGAUUAGAUACCCUGGUAGUCCAUGCCGUAAACGUUGGGCACUAGGUGUGGGGGACAUUCCACGUUUUCCGCGCCGUAGCUAACGCAUUAAGUGCCCCGCCUGGGAGUACGGCCGCAAGGCUAAAACUCAAAGGAAUUGACGGGGGCCCGCACAAGCGGCGGAGCAUGCGGAUUAAUUCGAUGCAACGCGAAGAACCUUACCAAGGCUUGACAUGGACUGGAAAUACCUGGAAACAGGUGCCCCGCUUGCGGUCGGUUCACAGGUGGUGCAUGGUUGUCGUCAGCUCGUGUCGUGAGAUGUUGGGUUAAGUCCCGCAACGAGCGCAACCCUCGUUCUAUGUUGCCAGCGCGUAAUGGCGGGGACUCAUAGGAGACUGCCGGGGUCAACUCGGAGGAAGGUGGGGACGACGUCAAAUCAUCAUGCCCCUUAUGUCUUGGGCUUCACGCAUGCUACAAUGGCCGGUACAAAGGGUUGCGAUACUGUGAGGUGGAGCUAAUCCCAAAAAGCCGGUCUCAGUUCGGAUUGGGGUCUGCAACUCGACCCCAUGAAGUCGGAGUCGCUAGUAAUCGCAGAUCAGCAACGCUGCGGUGAAUACGUUCCCGGGCCUUGUACACACCGCCCGUCAAGUCACGAAAGUUGGUAACACCCGAAGCC